AAUAUUGGACAAUGGGGGCAACCCUGAUCCAGCCAUGCCGCGUGUGUGAAGAAGGUCUUCGGAUUGUAAAGCACUUUAGGUUGGGGGGAAGGGCAGUAAGUUAUUACCUUGCUGUUUUGACUUUACCGCCAGAUUAAGAACCGGCUAAUUUCUUGCUGCCAGCCGCGGUAAUACGAAGGGUGCAAGCGUUAAUCGGAAUUACUGGGCGUAAAGCGCGCGUAGGUGGUUUGUUAAGUUGGAAGUGAAAGCCCCGGGCUCAACCUUGGAACUGCUUUCAUAACUGCUGAGCUAGAGUACGGUAGAGGGUAGUGGAAUUUCCUGUGUAGCGGUGAAAUGCGUAGAUAUAGGAAGGAACACCAGUGGCGAAGGCGACUACCUGGACUGAUACUGACACUGAGGUGCGAAAGCGUGGGGAGCAAAC
This 421-nucleotide ribosomal RNA is filed under the name uncultured bacterium. RNAcentral's name for it is "partial 16S ribosomal RNA". It matches the Rfam family "Bacterial small subunit ribosomal RNA", at positions 360 to 773 of the family's 1533-position model. The record is from RNAcentral.